CUCCUACGGGAGGCAGCAGUAGGGAAUCUUCGGCAAUGGACGAAAGUCUGACCGAGCAACGCCGCGUGAGUGAUGAAGGCUUUCGGGUCGUAAAACUCUGUUGUUAGGGAAGAACAAGUGCUAGUUGAAUAAGCUGGCACCUUGACGGUACCUAACCAGAAAGCCACGGCUAACUACGUGCCAGCAGCCGCGGUAAUACGUAGGUGGCAAGCGUUAUCCGGAAUUAUUGGGCGUAAAGCGCGCGCAGGUGGUCUCUUAAGUCUGAUGUGAAAGCCCACGGCUCAACCGUGGAGGGUCAUUGGAAACUGGGAGACUUGAGUGCAGAAGAGGAAAGUGGAAUUCCAUGUGUAGCGGUGAAAUGCGUAGAGAUGUGGAGGAACACCUGUGGCGAAGGCGCCUUGCUGGCCUAUUUCUGACGCUGAGGCGCGAAAGCGUGGGGAGCAAACAGGAUUAGAUACCCUGGUAGUCCACGCUGUAAACGAUGAGUGCUAGGUGCAGGUGGGCUCAUACCCAUCUGUGCCGAAGCUAACGCAUUAAGCACUCCGCCUGGGGAGUACGGUCGCAAGACUGAAACUCAAAGGAAUUGACGGGGGCCCGCACAAGCAGUGGAGCAUGUGGUUUAAUUCGAAGCAACGCGAAGAACCUUACCAGGACUUGACAUCCCAUAGACCAGUCUAGAGAUAGACUUUCCCUUCGGGGCUGUGGUGACAGGUGGUGCAUGGUUGUCGUCAGCUCGUGUCGUGAGAUGUUGGGUUAAGUCCCGCAACGAGCGCAACCCUUACUUUGUGUUGCCAGCAUUCAGUUGGGCACUCACAAGGGACUGCCGCCGAUAAGGCGGAGGAAGGUGGGGAUGACGUCAAAUCAUCAUGCCCCUUAUGUCCUGGGCUACACACGUGCUACAAUGGGCGGUACAACGGGAUGCGAAGCCGCGAGGUGGAGCCAAACCCUGAAAACCGUUCGUAGUUCGGAUUGUAGGCUGCAACUCGCCUACAUGAAGCCGGAAUUGCUAGUAAUCGCGGAUCAGCAUGCCGCGGUGAAUCCGUUCCCGGGCCUUGCACACACCGCCCGU
Molecule: ribosomal RNA, 1069 nt
Filed under: uncultured Caryophanales bacterium
Lineage: Bacteria; Bacillati; Bacillota; Bacilli; Caryophanales
Description: bacterial SSU rRNA
Rfam family: Bacterial small subunit ribosomal RNA
Source: RNAcentral